GCGGGUUUAGCUCAGUUGGGAGAGCGUCAGACUGAAGUUAACUUCGGCUCAAAUAUCUGAAGGUCAUGUGUUCGAUCCACAUAAACCGCA
Molecule: non-coding RNA, 90 nt
Organism: Chaetomidium leptoderma
Lineage: Eukaryota; Fungi; Ascomycota; Sordariomycetes; Sordariales; Chaetomiaceae
Source: the annotation of a GenBank genome assembly